Long non-coding RNA from Myotis davidii, 441 nucleotides. RefSeq lists it as uncharacterized. NCBI's taxonomy places the organism in Eukaryota, Metazoa, Chordata, Mammalia, Chiroptera, Vespertilionidae. The transcript is spliced from 3 exons. The record is from RefSeq and is a predicted model, not a curated record.
CUGCGUUACGUCACUUCCUCCCGGCGCCCCGCCCCUGAAGGUCAGCGGCGUCGCUCCGCCCAUCUCCUUCCGGAUGGUGUCAGCGGGAGGGAAGCCAAGGUUUCGGUCUCAAGUUAGCAUCUCGGUCUCUUCGCUGUGGCGUGCUGCGCGCCUGGAGGGACUCGGCGUGCUGUGGUCCAGAGGGUGAGAAGGCGAGUGAGGGCGGCCCUACGCGUUGCUAAGUGAGGCUGGGACGUGGCUGGGCGAAGCCGCGCGCUUCCUCGGGGACUGGGAGGCCGCGCGGAGGGAGAAAUCAUAUCCACGGGUGAGGAUUAAAAAACAUGUUUGGGCAAGACUCUGAGCAGAAGAUGCAGCUAAGCUGUACCCAGAUUUUGGACACUGUGAGACUAAAACCACCAAGUGGAGCAGAGACAGCCCAGCUGUGAGUGAAAGGCCCAGCCA